Molecule: ribosomal RNA, 505 nt
Filed under: uncultured bacterium
Lineage: Bacteria
Description: partial 16S ribosomal RNA
Rfam family: Bacterial small subunit ribosomal RNA
Source: RNAcentral
GACGGACGCUGGCGGCGUGCCUAAUACAUGCAAGUGGGACGCAAGGAAACACACUGUGCUUGUACACCGUGUUUUCUUGAGUCGCGAACGGGUGAGUAACGCGUAGGUAACCUGCCUAUUAGCGGGGGAUAACUAUUGGAAACGAUAGCUAAUACCGCAUAAUAUUAAUUAUUGCAUGAUAAUUGAUUGAAAGAUGCAAGCGCAUCACUAGUAGAUGGACCUGCGUUGUAUUAGCUAGUUGGUAAGGUAAGAGCUUACCAAGGCGACGAUACAUAGCCGACCUGAGAGGGUGAUCGGCCACACUGGGACUGAGACACGGCCCAGACUCCUACGGGAGGCAGCAGUAGGGAAUCUUCGGCAAUGGACGAAAGUCUGACCGAGCAACGCCGCGUGAGUGAAGAAGGUUUUCGGAUCGUAAAGCUCUGUUGUAAGUCAAGAACGUGUGUGAGAGUGGAAAGUUCACACAGUGACGGUAGCUUACCAGAAAGGGACGGCUAACUACGUG